This 570-nucleotide long non-coding RNA is filed under the name Theobroma cacao (cacao). RNAcentral describes it as "long non-coding RNA (TCAC_LNC001163)". Lineage: Eukaryota; Viridiplantae; Streptophyta; Magnoliopsida; Malvales; Malvaceae. The record is from RNAcentral.
UCUCCUUCUUCUUCUUCCAUCUCACAUUGCUUCCAUCCUCCAUGGAAGCUUGAUAUGAAACUUUCACAACUUUCUCUCUCUAGCUCUAAUUUUCAUACCUUUGUGCCCUUUUGACUAGAACCCUUGUGCUCUUUUACUCUCUCACUUUAAAACCCUCAAAACGUUCUUGUUCAGCACUUUCUCUCACUAGUUGAAGGUUUUAGAGAGAGAAAGAGAGAUUUUCCACAUUUGUUUGGAAGCUAUUGGAAGAGAAUUCAACUACAAAAAAACCCUCAGGUGAGUGAUGAACUAGGCUUGGUUUUAAGUUAUUGAUAAUGGCUAGUAAUUGGGAUUAUGAGCUAUUUUAUUGUUGAGUUGUUUACUCAUUUUUAGUGUGAUUAGAGUAAUGCAAGGAAUAACCAUUUGAUAUAGUUAGAAGCCAAUUAGGAAUGACUAGCAAAAUUUGAAUUAGAAACUAGAUUUUGGAGUGAUAUUAAUGUAAAUUGGAUUGGUUGUGAUGUAGUGUGUGUAUAAGUUCCAACAAGGCCUCACAUGUCCAUUUGGAGUAUUAGUUGAGGUUAGAGUCAAGCA